GCGGGGGUAGCGAAGCCAGGUCAACCGCGGAAGUGAGAUCACUCUCCCUGCGGAAAGGACUCAAGAUCCUCUCCCUUAGGGGUUCGUGGGUUCGAAUCCCACCCCCCGCA
Molecule: transfer RNA, 110 nt
Filed under: Nitrososphaerota archaeon
Lineage: Archaea; Thermoproteati; Nitrososphaerota
Also listed under: 1 other name
Description: Thaumarchaeota archaeon tRNA-Leu
Rfam family: tRNA
About the family: Transfer RNA (tRNA) molecules are approximately 80 nucleotides in length. Their secondary structure includes four short double-helical elements and three loops (D, anti-codon, and T loops).
Source: RNAcentral